CAGUAGCCGCGGGAAUACGAAGGGGGCUGGCGUUGCUCGGAAUGACUGGGCGUAAAGGGCGCGUAGGCGGCGGCCAAAGUCAGGCGUGAAAUUCCCGGGCUCAACCUGGGGGCUGCGUUUGAUACUUGGUUGCUUGAGUGGGGAAGAGGGUCGUGGGAUUCCCAGUGUAGAGGUGAAAUUCGUAGAUAUUGGGAAGAACACCGGUGGCGAAGGCGGCGACCUGGUCCUUUACUGACGCUGAGGCGCGAAAGCGUGGGGAGCAAACAGGAUUAGAUACCCGCGUAGUCCCUGUCUCUUAUAA
This 301-nucleotide ribosomal RNA is filed under the name uncultured bacterium. RNAcentral's name for it is "partial 16S ribosomal RNA". It matches the Rfam family "Bacterial small subunit ribosomal RNA", at positions 509 to 809 of the family's 1533-position model. The record is from RNAcentral.